CUGCCCGGUGCUCGAAGGUUAAUUGAUGGGGUUAGCAUUAGCGAAGCUCUUGAUCGAAGCCCGAGUAAACGGCGGCCGUAACUAUAACGGUCCUAAGGUAGCGAAAUUCCUUGUCGGUUAAAUACCGACCUGCAUGAAUGGCGUAACGAGAUGGGAGCUGUCUCAAAGAGGGAUCCAGUGAAAUUGUAGUGGAGGUGAAAAUUCCUCCUACCCGCGGCAAGACGGAAAGACCCCGUGGACCUUUACUACAGCUUGACACUGCUACUUGGAUAAGAAUGUGCAGGAUAGGUGGGAGGCUUUGAGUAUAUGACGCCAGUUGUAUAUGAGCCAUUGUUGAGAUACCACUCUUUCUUAUUUGGGUAGCUAACCAGCUUGAGUUAUCCUCAAGUGGGACAAUGUCUGGUGGGUAGUUUGACUGGGGCGGUCGCCUCCCAAAUAAUAACGGAGGCUUACAAAGGUUG
Molecule: ribosomal RNA, 461 nt
Filed under: Campylobacter coli
Lineage: Bacteria; Pseudomonadati; Campylobacterota; Epsilonproteobacteria; Campylobacterales; Campylobacteraceae
Description: bacterial LSU rRNA
Rfam family: Bacterial large subunit ribosomal RNA
Source: RNAcentral